AUGCCGGCGGACACGACGGUGACCCGAUCGCCGGAGAAAUCCAAGACGACGGGCGGCAGCGACGACGUAGAAGAGGAGGAGACUCACGAGAGGGAGGCCAAGAAGAUGAAGACCAAUCCAGCGUCGGUGGAAGCCGCCGCCAGGGACGACGAUGGGGACGAGGAGUUGGAGAUCUCGUCUCCGCUCUGCGAGCCCUACAUCCCCGACGAGCUGGACGACCCCUACGGCCUACCGCUACCGGGGGAUAUCCGCCGCCUACGAGCUCGCGAGAGCCGAAUUCUCUGA
RNAcentral lists this ribosomal RNA (285 nucleotides) under Triticum aestivum (bread wheat). Its description in RNAcentral is "partial small subunit ribosomal RNA". The record is from RNAcentral. Lineage: Eukaryota; Viridiplantae; Streptophyta; Magnoliopsida; Poales; Poaceae.